This 497-nucleotide ribosomal RNA is filed under the name uncultured bacterium. RNAcentral's name for it is "partial 16S ribosomal RNA". It matches the Rfam family "Bacterial small subunit ribosomal RNA", at positions 28 to 507 of the family's 1533-position model. The record is from RNAcentral.
GAUGAACGCUGGCGGCGUGCCUAAUACAUGCAAGUCGAGCGAACAGACGAGGAGCUUGCUCCUCUGACGUUAGCGGCGGACGGGUGAGUAACACGUGGAUAACCUACCUAUAAGACUGGUAUAACUUCGGGAAACCGGAGCUAAUACCGGAUAAUAUAUUGAACCGCAUGGUUCAAUAGUGAAAGACGGUUUUGCUGUCACUUAUAGAUGGAUCCGCGCCGCAUUAGCUAGUUGUUAAGGUAACAGCUUACCAAGGCAACGAUGCGUAGCCGACCUGAGAGGGUGAUCGGCCACACUGGAACUGAGACACGGUCCAGACUCCUACGGGAGGCAGCAGUAGGGAAUCUUCCGCAAUGGGCGAAAGCCUGACGGAGCAACGCCGCGUGAGUGAUGAAGGUCUUCGGAUCGUAAAACUCUGUUAUUAGGGAAGAACAAAUGUGUAAGUAACUAUGCACGUCUUGACGGUACCUAAUCAGAAAGCCACGGCUAACUACGUG